RNAcentral lists this ribosomal RNA (478 nucleotides) under uncultured organism. Its description in RNAcentral is "partial 16S ribosomal RNA". It matches the Rfam family "Bacterial small subunit ribosomal RNA", at positions 332 to 801 of the family's 1533-position model. The record is from RNAcentral.
UACACUCCUACGGGAGGCAGCAGUGGGGAAUUUUGGACAAUGGGCGAAAGCCUGAUCCAGCAAUGCCGCGUGAGUGAAGAAGGCCUUCGGGUUGUAAAGCUCUUUUGUCAGGGAAGAAACGGUGAAAGCUAAUAUCUUUUGCUAAUGACGGUACCUGAAGAAUAAGCACCGGCUAACUACGUGCCAGCAGCCGCGGUAAUACGUAGGGUGCAAGCGUUAAUCGGAAUUAUUGGGCGUAAAGCGUGCGCAGGCGGUUUUGUAAGUCUGAUGUGAAAUCCCCGGGCUCAACCUGGGAAUUGCAUUGGAGACUGCAAGGCUAGAAUCUGGCAGAGGGGGGUAGAAUUCCACGUGUAGCAGUGAAAUGCGUAGAUAUGUGGAGGAACACCGAUGGCGAAGGCAGCCCCCUGGGUCAAGAUUGACGCUCAUGCACGAAAGCGUGGGGAGCAAACAGGAUUAGAAACCCGUGUAGUCCCAUGAU